AAUGCCACCUUUAGUUUUCAGUAGGCCAGGUACAAUUCCUGCUACUCCUUAUGGAAGCACCCCAAUUCAGCAGCAAGGCGAGAACCCAACUAUCAUGCAAAAUAUACCAAUUCCUCAAUCUUCCAUUCAAUCAAUUCAUCAGUUACAGCCUCUCCAGCCUCCACUUCAACGUCCUCCACAGCCACCUCAGCAUCUCUGGCCACCUGUACAAUCUUCUCAGCAGCUUGAGCAAGGGGUUUCUUUGCAAAACUCUGUUCAAAUGCAUCAAUUACAAAUACUGCAGCAGCCACAGAUUUCUCCUAUGCAUACCCAUUAUCAAUCUCAGCAGCAGCAGCAAGUUGAACAUGGUCAACCACAAGUUCCACAUCAGCAAGGAGAUGCUGCAUAUAGGCAUCAACAAGAGUUAGGAAUGUCAUUACAAGAGUAUUUCCAGGAUCCUAAAGCUAUUACGUCUUUAUUGAGCAACAAGGAAGAACUCUGUAGGCUUUUGGAGCAGAAUCCAAAAUUGAUGCAGAUGCUUCAGGAAAGAUUGGGCCAACAAUAGCAAUAUCUGCGGUAUUCAAUUUUGAUCUCUUACCCCCUUCAGGAUACAGUCCGAGCCAAAUGCAAGAUCACCCCAUUGAGCUACCCUCAGAAAUCUUGUAUUCAUGUUGUACUAUAUAAUGUAUAUGUUCUUGUUUGCUAAAAAAAAUCCAUUGAAUUGCCUUUUAUAUGAUUUCUGAUUUAUCAUCUCUAGAUGUCUCUUUUGAUGAGUUG
RNAcentral lists this unclassified non-coding RNA (756 nucleotides) under Hevea brasiliensis (rubber tree). The record is from RNAcentral. Lineage: Eukaryota; Viridiplantae; Streptophyta; Magnoliopsida; Malpighiales; Euphorbiaceae.